This 468-nucleotide ribosomal RNA is filed under the name uncultured bacterium. RNAcentral's name for it is "partial 16S ribosomal RNA". It matches the Rfam family "Bacterial small subunit ribosomal RNA", at positions 28 to 507 of the family's 1533-position model. The record is from RNAcentral.
GACGAACGCUGGCGGCGUGCUUAACACAUGCAAGUCGAACGGAAAGGCCCUGCUUUUUUGUGGUUCUCGAGUCGCGAACGGGUGUGUAACACGUGAGUAACCUGCCCUUUACUUUGUGAUAACUUCAGGAAACUGGUGCUAAUACCGGAUAGGAGCUCCUGCUGCAUGGUGGUGGUUGGAAAGUUUAGGCGGUUGGGGAUGGACUCGCGGCUUAUCAGCUUGUUGGUGGGGUAGUUGCUUACCAAGGCUUUGACGGGUAGCCGGCCUGGGAGGGUGGACGGCGACAUUGGGACUGAGAGACGGCCCAGAGUCCUACGGGAGGCAGCAGGGGGGAAUAUUGCACAAUGGGCGGAAGCCUGAUGCAGCAACGCCGCGUGCGGGAUGACGGCCUUCGGGUUGUAAACCGCUUUCGCCUGUGACGAAGCGUGAGUGACGGUAAUGGGUAAAGAAGCACCGGCUAACUACGUG